AACUGGAACUCUUUCUAGUCACUGUUUAAAUUAUCUAAUUUCCUGCUUCCUCUAUGUAGGUCAAUAAAGGGGGUCUUCCUACACAAGGUCUCUAGCACUAUCCCCUGGAUCUCUUCCAUAAAGCUUGAAGAUCAUGUCCUGUCUGUGCUUUGACUUUCUCCACAAUCAGGCAGCAUUUCCUUGUAUUAUUCUAGUGUCAUCACUGAUGUGAGAAGUCUGUGGUAGCACCAGCUGGGAGCCACUGCAUCUGUUAUGAGCUUGCUGGGUUUAUUGGUAUGAAUUUUUCUAUCUGAAGAUUAGCCCAGUACAAGAUAGCCAGAUCUGUUUUCACAACUUAGACAGACACCAGGAUUCUGUUAAUUACACACUCAGGAGAGAAUAUCUUGUUGUCGCCUAUGGAUGUAGGCAGCUGUGAACUGAUAAACAAAACCCAUGGCAGGAAUCUUAGCAGGAAUAUUGCUACCUAAAAAAUAUGACUGUGCUUCAUUAAUGAACUGAGCCCUUUUCUAG
RNAcentral lists this long non-coding RNA (510 nucleotides) under Chrysemys picta bellii (western painted turtle). RNAcentral's name for it is "lncRNA (ENSCPBG00000024903.1)". Lineage: Eukaryota; Metazoa; Chordata; Testudines; Emydidae. The record is from RNAcentral.